Molecule: transfer RNA, 66 nt
Filed under: Agenioideus sp. SJW-2017
Lineage: Eukaryota; Metazoa; Arthropoda; Insecta; Hymenoptera; Pompilidae
Description: tRNA-Leu
Source: RNAcentral
UUUAAUAUGGCAGACUAGUGCAAUGGAUUUAAAUUCCAUUUAUAAAAUUAAUAAUUUUUAUUAAAA